AGUGAACGCUGGCGGUAGGCCUAACACAUGCAAGUCGAACGGCAGCACAGUAAGAGCUUGCUCUUACGGGUGGCGAGUGGCGGACGGGUGAGGAAUACAUCGGAAUUUACUUUUUCGUGGGGGAUAACGUAGGGAAACUUACGCUAAUACCGCAUACGACCUACGGGUGAAAGCAGGGGAUCUUCGGACCUUGCGCGAUUGAAUGAGCCGAUGUCGGAUUAGCUAGUUGGCGGGGUAAAGGCCCACCAAGGCGACGAUCCGUAGCUGGUCUGAGAGGAUGAUCAGCCACACUGGAACUGAGACACGGUCCAGACUCCGACGGGAGGCAGCAGUGGGGAAUAUUGGACAAUGGGCGCAAGCCUGAUCCAGCCAUACCGCGUGGGUGAAGAAGGCCUUCGGGUUGUAAAGCCCUUUUGUUGGGAAAGAAAAGCAGCAGGUUAAUACCCCGCUGUUCUGACGGUACCCAAAGAAUAAGCACCGGCUAACUUCGUG
This 492-nucleotide ribosomal RNA is filed under the name uncultured bacterium. RNAcentral's name for it is "partial 16S ribosomal RNA". It matches the Rfam family "Bacterial small subunit ribosomal RNA", at positions 29 to 507 of the family's 1533-position model. The record is from RNAcentral.